RNAcentral lists this unclassified non-coding RNA (27 nucleotides) under Mus musculus (house mouse). Its description in RNAcentral is "oocyte_clustered_small_RNA3212". Lineage: Eukaryota; Metazoa; Chordata; Mammalia; Rodentia; Muridae. The record is from RNAcentral.
UGCCCCCUGGGCCGCCUGUUUUGCUGA